RNAcentral lists this long non-coding RNA (702 nucleotides) under Homo sapiens (human). RNAcentral's name for it is "HSALNT0227313". Lineage: Eukaryota; Metazoa; Chordata; Mammalia; Primates; Hominidae. The record is from RNAcentral.
ACAAGACAUUUAAUAAGGUCAGCAGCCAUGGUGAUGGGCAAGGCAUUUAUUUGAGAGGCAGGUAAGGUUGUUGAUUUUGCCUUUACUUGGACUUAUCCUUCAUGUACACAGUGUAGUGAAAGGAACUCUGACUAAAGGUUAAGCAGCAGUGGACUUGCAUAUUAUAAUAACAAUGUACGAUUAUGGAAAUAAGAGAAAAUUCAGAGGACUGAAGAUUGGCACACCAUCAAGUGUCAUGCUAGUCACGUGUCAUUUCCCUGAGGCACACAACUGAGGUGUCCUUGAUUAGUGCAUGAAGCCACAGUAUCCUAAACUUAACACGUGGUCCUGGUUAAAUGGAAGGCUUAAGGAACUCGUCCCCAUUUCACUGAGGCAUCUCGGCGCUGUGAUGUAUCAGUUGUUGAAAUUAGGUUGAGAACAUUGCAUAGGGGGUCAUCAAGUGGAUUUCAAUGCAUAGAAUUAUGUAUUUUAUUUUGACUUCUCAAACACUUUUUUCUUCCACCACUUAUCUUCCAAUUAUUUCCCUAUCAAGGUUGCCAUUUACAUGAUAUUUAAAUGAGUGAGGUUUGGCAGUACUUAGAAGUCAAUGGACUUUCAGGUAGUCAGGAAAGAUCUCUUUCUCAAAAGAGUCAAAUCCAUAGCAGCUCUGCCUUUAUGCAAUCUACCUCUCAUUACCAAUGGCAAGAACAUCAUUUUGAAGAG